RNAcentral lists this ribosomal RNA (424 nucleotides) under Verrucomicrobiota bacterium. RNAcentral's name for it is "Verrucomicrobia bacterium partial 16S ribosomal RNA". It matches the Rfam family "Bacterial small subunit ribosomal RNA", at positions 355 to 776 of the family's 1533-position model. Lineage: Bacteria; Pseudomonadati; Verrucomicrobiota. The record is from RNAcentral.
UGAGGAAUAUUGGUCAAUGGACGAGAGUCUGAACCAGCCAAGUAGCGUGCAGGAUGACGGCCCUAUGGGUUGUAAACUGCUUUUGUUUGGGAAUAAUCGACAUUACGUGUAAUGUUUUGCAUGUACCAUUCGAAUAAGGACCGGCUAAUUCCGUGCCAGCAGCCGCGGUAAUACGGAAGGUCCAGGCGUUAUCCGGAUUUAUUGGGUUUAAAGGGAGCGUAGGCUGUUUGUUAAGCGUGUUGUGAAAUGUAGGAGCUCAACUUUUAGAUUGCAGCGCGAACUGGCAGACUUGAGUGCGCACAACGUAGGCGGAAUUCAUGGUGUAGCGGUGAAAUGCUUAGAUAUCAUGACGAACUCCGAUUGCGAAGGCAGCUUACGGGAGCGCAACUGACGCUAAAGCUCGAAGGUGCGGGUAUCGAACAGG